Molecule: long non-coding RNA, 357 nt
Organism: Pomacea canaliculata
Lineage: Eukaryota; Metazoa; Mollusca; Gastropoda; Architaenioglossa; Ampullariidae
Exons: 3
Source: RefSeq, a predicted model, not a curated record
AGUAGGUUCAAAGGCCAGGACAGAGGAAAACUGUGGACACUGUUGAAGGUGUGCCUCCAGACACUAAAGAUCAGAACAUCACCUACUUUGUUUGACAGUUGUAGUUCCUUUAAUUCUUCACCUUUGCAUUCAGCUGACCCAUGGGUAGAACAUGAACACAUCCAUCUGACCAGCGUACACUGACCAUCUUCUUUAACUGUGGGUCUUCCAAACAGUCAAAUACCACCUUGAACAAGACAUCAUGGCUGAGCUUACCUGGAAUCAAUGAUCUAAAAGAUGCUAAGAGUUUAUUAGCAGACCUUGCAGUGGACUAGAAAGAAUGACAGAUGCAAGGGAGACAGUCCACCAACAUACGUG